This 84-nucleotide transfer RNA is filed under the name Heterostelium album PN500. RNAcentral's name for it is "Polysphondylium pallidum PN500 tRNA". It matches the Rfam family "tRNA". Rfam says of the family: Transfer RNA (tRNA) molecules are approximately 80 nucleotides in length. Their secondary structure includes four short double-helical elements and three loops (D, anti-codon, and T loops). Lineage: Eukaryota; Evosea; Eumycetozoa; Acytosteliales; Acytosteliaceae. The record is from Rfam by way of RNAcentral.
GGCUCCAUUGCAUAGUGGCAGUGCAUCUGUCUCGUAGGAUGCUAAAGUUAACAGAAGGUGCGAGUUCGAUUCUCGCUGGAGCCA